This 494-nucleotide ribosomal RNA is filed under the name uncultured bacterium. RNAcentral's name for it is "bacterial SSU rRNA". It matches the Rfam family "Bacterial small subunit ribosomal RNA", at positions 24 to 518 of the family's 1533-position model. The record is from RNAcentral.
UCAGGACGAACGCUGGCGGCGUGCCUAACACAUGCAAGUCGAGCGGAGUUAACAAGAGGAAGUUUCGGAUGGAAUUUGUAAUUAGCGGCGGACGGGUGAGUAACGCGUGAGCGACCAACCUUGCACAGGGGAUAACGGACCGAAAGGUUCACUAAUACCGCAUGAGACCACGGUGUUGCAUGACACAGAGGUUAAAGGAGCAAUCCGGUGCAAGACGGGCUCGCGUCCGAUUAGGUAGUUGGUGGGGUAAUGGCCCACCAAGCCUAUGAUCGGUAGCCGACCUGAGAGGGUGAUCGGCCACAUUGGAACUGAGAUACGGUCCAAACUCCUACGGGAGGCAGCAGUGGGGAAUAUUGGGGCCAAUGGGGGAAACCCUGACCCAGCAACGCCGCGUGAAGGAAGAAGGUUUUCGGAUUGUAAACUUCUGUCCUUGGUGAAGAGAAGAAGACGGUAGCCAAGGAGGAAGCCCCGGCUAACUACGUGCCAGCCGCCGC